Molecule: long non-coding RNA, 372 nt
Filed under: Ananas comosus (pineapple)
Lineage: Eukaryota; Viridiplantae; Streptophyta; Magnoliopsida; Poales; Bromeliaceae
Description: long non-coding RNA (ACOM_LNC019299)
Source: RNAcentral
AAUCAUAAAGCUAACAAAGCGUUUUAGCAUUUCAUCAAACUGCACUAAGGGGCUGUUUGGUUGCAUGCAUUUCCAACUGCAUUGCAGUUGAAAAUGCAUGCAUCUAUUAAUUUUUUGUUCGAUUUGGUGCAGUUAGACACAACUGCUGCAGUUGCAUAUACACGAUAAGGUCCAACUGCAGCAAUUACAAUUGCAUAAAACCAAACAGACUAGAUGUAGUUAUGACUGCAGCAUUUACAACUGCAUAUACUUCCAACUACACUAUUUUUGUAACUAUAUCCAACCAAACGGCCCCUUAAGUGUUAACAGAAUUUAAUAAAGUGUUUCUUUUUUUUUCCCAAUGAUGCUACUGCAACGCUAUUUCAUCAAAUU